AUUUAACGGUGGCUUUUCAAGCCACAGAUCUUGGAGAGAGGCCGAGCGGGAAUU
Molecule: transfer RNA, 54 nt
Filed under: Threskiornis aethiopicus (Sacred ibis)
Lineage: Eukaryota; Metazoa; Chordata; Aves; Pelecaniformes; Threskiornithidae
Description: tRNA-Glu
Source: RNAcentral